RNAcentral lists this transfer RNA (55 nucleotides) under Dipodomys ordii (Ord's kangaroo rat). It matches the Rfam family "tRNA", at positions 9 to 62 of the family's 71-position model. Rfam says of the family: Transfer RNA (tRNA) molecules are approximately 80 nucleotides in length. Their secondary structure includes four short double-helical elements and three loops (D, anti-codon, and T loops). The record is from Rfam by way of RNAcentral. Lineage: Eukaryota; Metazoa; Chordata; Mammalia; Rodentia; Heteromyidae.
GGCUCAGUGGUAGAGCACUUGCCUUGCAUGCAUGAGGCCGUGGGUUCGAUUCCUC